Molecule: ribosomal RNA, 434 nt
Filed under: uncultured Lachnospiraceae bacterium
Lineage: Bacteria; Bacillati; Bacillota; Clostridia; Lachnospirales; Lachnospiraceae
Description: partial 16S ribosomal RNA
Rfam family: Bacterial small subunit ribosomal RNA
Source: RNAcentral
ACGGAAGGCAGCAGUGGGGAAUAUUGGACAAUGGGGGAAACCCUGAUCCAGCGACGCCGCGUGAGUGAAGAAGUAUUUCGGUAUGUAAAGCUCUAUCAGCAGGGAAGAUAAUGACGGUACCUGACUAAGAAGCCCCGGCUAACUACGUGCCAGCAGCCGCGGUAAUACGUAGGGGGCAAGCGUUAUCCGGAUUUACUGGGUGUAAAGGGAGCGUAGGCGGCUGUGCAAGUCAGAAGUGAAAGCCCGGGGCUUAACUCCGGGACUGCUUUUGAAACUGCAUGGCUUGAGUGCAGGAGAGGUAAGCGGAAUUCCUAGUGUAGCGGUGAAAUGCGUAGAUAUUAGGAAGAACACCGGUGGCGAAGGCGGCUUACUGGACUGAGACUGACGCUGAGGCUCGAAAGCGUGGGGAGCAAACAGGAUUAGAUACCCUGGUA